This is a long non-coding RNA of Lemur catta (Ring-tailed lemur), 174 nucleotides long. RefSeq lists it as uncharacterized. NCBI's taxonomy places the organism in Eukaryota, Metazoa, Chordata, Mammalia, Primates, Lemuridae. The record is from RefSeq and is a predicted model, not a curated record. The transcript is spliced from 3 exons.
CUGAACCCUAAACCCUUAAAGUGACCUUUUUCUUUUGAUUUCCUGUGAGUUGAAAACCAGCUAGUAAAGUUUGUUUAAGGCUCCUGCUUCUGGAUCUGGGCUUCCUGUGGUGAGACACCUGAGAAGAAAGCGUGCACAGAAGGCAGAAUAUUUAUAGGAGGAGCUCGGUGUGGA